Molecule: ribosomal RNA, 24 nt
Filed under: Symbiodinium sp. ex Pavona varians
Lineage: Eukaryota; Dinophyceae; Suessiales; Symbiodiniaceae
Description: partial 5.8S ribosomal RNA
Source: RNAcentral
CUUUCAGCNAUGGAUAUCUUGGCU